GACGAACGCUGGCGGCGUGCUUAACACAUGCAGGUCGAACGGAAAGGCCCCCUUGUGGGGUACUCGAGUGGCGAACGGGUGAGUAACACGUGAGUAACCUACCCUUGACUUUGGGAUAACUUCAGGAAACUGGGGCUAAUACCGGAUAGGAGCUCCUGCUGCAUGGUGGGGGUUGGAAAGUUUCGGCGGUUGGGGAUGGACUCGCGGCUUAUCAGCUUGUUGGUGGGGUAGUGGCUCACCAAGGCUUUGACGGGUAGCCGGCCUGAGAGGGUGACCGGCCACAUUGGGACUGAGAUACGGCCCAGACUCCUACGGGAGGCAGCAGUGGGGAAUAUUGCACAAUGGGCGGAAGCCUGAUGCAGCAACGCCGCGUGCGGGAUGACGGCCUUCGGGUUGUAAACCGCUUUCGCCUGUGACGAAGCGUGAGUGACGGUAAUGGGUAAAGAAGCACCGGCUAACUACGUG
RNAcentral lists this ribosomal RNA (465 nucleotides) under uncultured bacterium. RNAcentral's name for it is "partial 16S ribosomal RNA". It matches the Rfam family "Bacterial small subunit ribosomal RNA", at positions 28 to 507 of the family's 1533-position model. The record is from RNAcentral.